GUAACCCUCUCCUGAUUGGUCUUCCCUAAAGCCGUAUUGCCCCCCUACAGUCUGUAAUGAAUGUCGCCGCCAGACUGAUUUUCCUCUCUAGUCGGUUCUCUCACACCUCACCCCUCUGUCAGGAUUUACAUUGGCUUCCUGUAUGCUAUUGGAGUCAAUCCAAAGUGCUAACCCAUGCCUAUAAAGCACUGAAUAAUCUUAGCCCCUCUUAUAUCUCCUCACAGAUCCAUAGGUAUGCCCCUUCUCGGUCUCUCCGCUCUGCCCGUGACCUUCUUCUGUCAG
This is a non-coding RNA of Pelobates cultripes (western spadefoot toad), 282 nucleotides long. NCBI's taxonomy places the organism in Eukaryota, Metazoa, Chordata, Amphibia, Anura, Pelobatidae. The record is from the annotation of a GenBank genome assembly.